Molecule: ribosomal RNA, 397 nt
Filed under: uncultured bacterium
Lineage: Bacteria
Description: partial 16S ribosomal RNA
Rfam family: Bacterial small subunit ribosomal RNA
Source: RNAcentral
AUACGUAGGUGGCAAGCGUUGUCCGGAAUUAUUGGGCGUAAAGCGCGCGCAGGUGGUUCCUUAAGUCUGAUGUGAAAGCCCCCGGCUCAACCGGGGAGGGUCAUUGGAAACUGGGGAACUUAAGUGCAGAAGAGGAUAGUGGAAUUCCAAGUGUAGCGGUGAAAUGCGUAGAGAUUUGGAGGAACACCAGUGGCGAAGGCGACUGUCUGGUCUGUAACUGACACUGAGGCGCGAAAGCGUGGGGAGCAAACAGGAUUAGAUACCCUGGUAGUCCACGCCGUAAACGAUGAGUGCUAAGUGUUGGGGGGUUUCCGCCCCUCAGUGCUGCAGCUAACGCAUUAAGCACUCCGCCUGGGGAGUACGGUCGCAAGACUGAAACUCAAAGGAAUUGACGGGG